AGAUCAGUGUUCUAACUGGUAAGAUGCAGGCCUCCAAAUCCUUGCGAUUGGGGUUCGAAUCCCUACUGGUCUGCCA
This 76-nucleotide transfer RNA is filed under the name Saprospirales bacterium. RNAcentral describes it as "tRNA-Trp". It matches the Rfam family "tRNA". Rfam says of the family: Transfer RNA (tRNA) molecules are approximately 80 nucleotides in length. Their secondary structure includes four short double-helical elements and three loops (D, anti-codon, and T loops). Further hydrogen bonds mediate the characteristic L-shaped molecular structure. tRNAs have two regions of fundamental functional importance: the anti-codon, which is responsible for specific mRNA codon recognition, and the 3' end, to which the tRNAs corresponding amino acid is attached (by aminoacyl-tRNA synthetases). tRNAs cope with the degeneracy of the genetic code in two manners: having more than one tRNA (with a specific anti-codon) for a particular amino acid; and 'wobble' base-pairing, i.e. permitting non-standard base-pairing at the 3rd anti-codon position. Lineage: Bacteria; Pseudomonadati; Bacteroidota; Saprospiria; Saprospirales. The record is from RNAcentral.